This 61-nucleotide transfer RNA is filed under the name Ictidomys tridecemlineatus (thirteen-lined ground squirrel). Its description in RNAcentral is "Spermophilus tridecemlineatus (thirteen-lined ground squirrel) tRNA". It matches the Rfam family "tRNA", at positions 6 to 65 of the family's 71-position model. Rfam says of the family: Transfer RNA (tRNA) molecules are approximately 80 nucleotides in length. Their secondary structure includes four short double-helical elements and three loops (D, anti-codon, and T loops). The record is from Rfam by way of RNAcentral. Lineage: Eukaryota; Metazoa; Chordata; Mammalia; Rodentia; Sciuridae.
UGUGGCUCAGAGGUAGAGCAUUUGCCCAGCAUGCAAGAGGCACUGGGUUCAAUCCUCAGCA